GACGAACGCUGGCGGCGUGCUUAACACAUGCAAGUCGUACGGUAAGGCCCUUUCGGGGGUACACGAGUGGCGAACGGGUGAGUAACACGUGAGUAACCUGCCCACAACUUUGGGAUAACGCUAGGAAACUGGUGCUAAUACUGGAUAUGUGCUCCUGCUGCAUGGUGGGGGUUGGAAAGCUCCGGCGGUUGUGGAUGGACUCGCGGCCUAUCAGCUUGUUGGUGGGGUAGUGGCCUACCAAGGCGGGGACGGGUAGCCGGCCUGAGAGGGUGACCGGCCACAUUGGGACUGAGAUACGGCCCAGACUCCUACGGGAGGCAGCAGUGGGGAAUAUUGCACAAUGGGCGCAAGCCUGAUGCAGCAACGCCGCGUGCGGGAUGACGGCCUUCGGGUUGUAAACCGCUUUCAGCAGGGACGAAGCUUUUUGUGACGGUACCUGCAGAAGAAGCACCGGCUAACUACGUG
Molecule: ribosomal RNA, 465 nt
Filed under: uncultured bacterium
Lineage: Bacteria
Description: partial 16S ribosomal RNA
Rfam family: Bacterial small subunit ribosomal RNA
Source: RNAcentral